This 402-nucleotide ribosomal RNA is filed under the name uncultured bacterium. RNAcentral describes it as "bacterial SSU rRNA". It matches the Rfam family "Bacterial small subunit ribosomal RNA", at positions 356 to 773 of the family's 1533-position model. The record is from RNAcentral.
GGGGAAUAUUGCACAAUGGGCGAAAGCCUGAUGCAGCAACGCCGCGUGAGCGAUGAAGGCCUUCGGGUCGUAAAGCUCUGUCCUUGGGGAAGAAAAAAAUGACGGUACCCUUGGAGGAAGCCCCGGCUAACUACGUGCCAGCAGCCGCGGUAAUACGUAGGGGGCGAGCGUUAUCCGGAAUUAUUGGGCGUAAAGAGUGCGUAGGUGGUUACCUAAGCGCAGGGUUUAAGGCAAUGGCUCAACCAUUGUAUGCCUUGCGAACUGGGCUACUUGAGUGCAGGAGAGGAAAGCGGAAUUCCUAGUGUAGCGGUGAAAUGCGUAGAUAUUAGGAGGAACACCAGUGGCGAAGGCGGCCCCCUGGACAAAGACUGACGCUCAGGUGCGAAAGCGUGGGGAGCAAAC